UGGGGAAUAUUGGACAAUGGGCGAAAGCCUGAUCCAGCCAUGCCGCGUGUGUGAAGAAGGUCUUCGGAUUGUAAAGCACUUUAAGUUGGGAGGAAGGGCAGUAAGCGAAUACCUUGCUGUUUUGACGUUACCGACAGAAUAAGCACCGGCUAACUCUGUGCCAGCAGCCGCGGUAAUACAGAGGGUGCAAGCGUUAAUCGGAAUUACUGGGCGUAAAGCGCGCGUAGGUGGUUCGUUAAGUUGAAUGUGAAAGCCCCGGGCUCAACCUGGGAACUGCAUCCGAAACUGGCGAGCUAGGGUAGGGCAGAGGGGGGUGGAAUUUCCUGUGUAGCGGUGAAAUGCGGAGAUAUAGGGAGGAACACCAGUGGCGGAGGCGACCACCUGGGCUCAUACUGACACUGAGGUGCGAAAGCGUGGGGAGCAAACAGG
Molecule: ribosomal RNA, 429 nt
Filed under: Pseudomonadota bacterium
Lineage: Bacteria; Pseudomonadati; Pseudomonadota
Description: Proteobacteria bacterium partial 16S ribosomal RNA
Rfam family: Bacterial small subunit ribosomal RNA
Source: RNAcentral